GGUGUUAGCUCAAUUGGAAGAGCACUUGCCCACCACGCGAGCGGUUGCGGGUUCGAGUCCCAUGCACACCU
This 71-nucleotide transfer RNA is filed under the name Flavobacterium sp. 81. RNAcentral's name for it is "tRNA-Gly". It matches the Rfam family "tRNA". From Rfam's summary of the family: Transfer RNA (tRNA) molecules are approximately 80 nucleotides in length. Their secondary structure includes four short double-helical elements and three loops (D, anti-codon, and T loops). Further hydrogen bonds mediate the characteristic L-shaped molecular structure. tRNAs have two regions of fundamental functional importance: the anti-codon, which is responsible for specific mRNA codon recognition, and the 3' end, to which the tRNAs corresponding amino acid is attached (by aminoacyl-tRNA synthetases). tRNAs cope with the degeneracy of the genetic code in two manners: having more than one tRNA (with a specific anti-codon) for a particular amino acid; and 'wobble' base-pairing, i.e. permitting non-standard base-pairing at the 3rd anti-codon position. Lineage: Bacteria; Pseudomonadati; Bacteroidota; Flavobacteriia; Flavobacteriales; Flavobacteriaceae. RNAcentral also lists the same sequence under 1 other name. The record is from RNAcentral.